Molecule: unclassified non-coding RNA, 400 nt
Filed under: soil metagenome
Description: partial contains 5.8S ribosomal RNA, internal transcribed spacer 2, and large subunit ribosomal RNA
Rfam family: 5.8S ribosomal RNA (bases 1-122)
Source: RNAcentral
GAUGAAGAACGCAGCGAAAUGCGAUACUUGGUGUGAAUUGCAGAAUCCCGUGAACCAUCGAGUCUUUGAACGCAAGUUGCGCCUCAAGCCAUUGGGUUGAGGGCACGUCUGCCUGGGCGUCACAUAUCGUUGCCUGAUGCCAGUUUCCUCGUGAUGGGUGACUGUGCAGGGCGAAUGAUGGCUUCCCGUGAGCAUUGUUGCCUCAUGGUUGGUUGAAAAUUGAGUCCUUGGUAGGGAGCGCCGUGAUAGAUGGUGGUUGAGUGACGAACGAGACCCAAUCAUGUGAGACCCCUACCGAAUUUGGCCUUCAUGACCCACAUGCGUCUUUGGAACGCUCAUGACGAGACCUCAGGUCAGGCGGGGCUACCCGCUGAGUUUAAGCAUAUCAAUAAGCGGAGGA